Molecule: non-coding RNA, 218 nt
Organism: Peromyscus maniculatus bairdii (prairie deer mouse)
Lineage: Eukaryota; Metazoa; Chordata; Mammalia; Rodentia; Cricetidae
Source: RefSeq, a predicted model, not a curated record
UUAAUUAAAGCAAACCUGGAACCAGGUAUUGGGGUGAAUGCUGAAAGAUCAGGAAGACAAAACAGACCACAGCUAACCUCACCUCACCAACUUCUCAGCUGAUCUUUUUUCCUCAGGCUGAAGCCUAAGAGUCCUCAUCCAGAACAAAUCUCAGCUGAAUUGCUGCUAAAAACCUAAAAGCUUAACCAUCUCUAGUUCCUGGUCUUCGUGCCUUAUAU